This 468-nucleotide ribosomal RNA is filed under the name uncultured bacterium. Its description in RNAcentral is "partial 16S ribosomal RNA". It matches the Rfam family "Bacterial small subunit ribosomal RNA", at positions 28 to 507 of the family's 1533-position model. The record is from RNAcentral.
GACGAACGCUGGCGGCGUGCUUAACACAUGCAAGUCGAACGGAAAGGCCCUGCUUUUGUGGGGUGCUCGAGUGGCGAACGGGUGAGUAACACGUGAGUAACCUGCCCUUGACUUUGGGAUAACUUCAGGAAACUGGGGCUAAUACCGGAUAGGAGCUCCUGCUGCAUGGUGGGGGUUGGAAAGUUUCGGCGGUUGGGGAUGGACGCGCGGCUGAUCAGCUUGCUGGUGGGGUAGGGGCUUACCGAGGCUUGGACGGAUAGCCGGCCGGGGAGGGUGGCCGGCCACAUUGGGCCUGCGAGACGGCCCAGUCUCCUAUGUUAGGCAGCAGUCGGGAAUAUUGCCCAAUCGGCGCACGCCUGUGGCAGCAACGCCGCGUUUGUGAUGACGGCUUGCUGGUUGUAAACCGCUUUCGCCUGUGACGACGCGUUAGUGACGGUACUGGGUAAAUAAGCACCGGCUAACUACGUG